This is a long non-coding RNA of Neofelis nebulosa (Clouded leopard), 436 nucleotides long. RefSeq lists it as uncharacterized. The record is from RefSeq and is a predicted model, not a curated record. NCBI's taxonomy places the organism in Eukaryota, Metazoa, Chordata, Mammalia, Carnivora, Felidae. The transcript is spliced from 2 exons.
UGAGGUCAGGAGGGAGGCCGGGCCCUCCAGGCCCUGCUAGUGUGACGUCACCACCAUGGCAGGAGGCAGCCCCAUGGAAAGGCACCAUAGCCCAGGUGCCUGACUCUGGCGGCGGUCCCUUGCAAGUUUAUUCUCAGACCCUCCCAACCUUCCCUCUCCAUCGAGUGUGAAACAAGAGGAACUAAACGACUUGAUGGUCUGAUUCAGCCCAGACUCAGGCUUGUGUCCCUACAAGGAAAAUGAAGUUAAAUCUUCAGACAAUUUUUCUGAAAGUCAAGACCUGCCAACAUUCCCCCCUCACUGAAGACAAAAAAAAUAUGUUUGGGGAUUUUCUGAGUUGACUUUCUACGCUGAUGUUAAAAUUGUCCACACUUGCUACAAAGAACCUGCAUUUUGCUUUUGCUUCAUUAUCUCCAAUCAGAAACCAUGUCAUAUC